GUUUGAAAACUGAUUUGACAACGACUGCUGAAUUGGCCUGCUCAGAGGAAGAGGCACUAAUGAUUCCAGAAGAGGAAGCCAAAGACAUCAAACACGUCAGCACUGAAGAUCUACUUCAGUGCUGACGUGUAAGAUCUCUCAAUUGCCAUGAUGACCAAGAUAUUCAACGGGGAAAUGUGGAAAGCUGCCAUAUUCCCAGUCAUUACUUUGCCAAAUCAUCUGUGCAGCAGCAGCAGCAGCACCGAGGGAUCCUACUUUCCUGAGUACAAAGCCGGCCAUCAAGGACUUCCCCGACUGGCAACAGACUGGAGCAGAGGCUGUAGCAGGACAGCAUUUAUUUAUUUUUUGCUACUGAAAUAAUUGACAUUAUGAUAGACAGUGGACAAUAUAGUGUGACAAUUAGUUUUUGUUCUCAAACAUGUACACAUAUACAGCUCACAAAUGUGUAGUCAAAAGAGAGAAAUACAGUAUAUUUCAGCGACUCCUACAGUCGCUACAGAAGAAAAAUAAUGAAUUUUCUUAAUAAAUACAUUUUAUUCUUGGCUCAAUUGUUCAGUGUCUUUGGGUUCAAAUAACAUUACCAUGAUCCCAUAGGCAUAAAAUUUUUUAGAAAGUGACGUUUUUUAAAACAUCCUGUUGUGUGCGCAAGCGCCUUUUUAUUACCACGGGUUUACAGACACGUCUCGAAUAAUUGGGUAUCACCUGGAACACAGCCAAUAAUUGAGAGACACACCCACCAAAGACAGAAAACAUAACUUAAGCCGUUGCACACCGUUCCCAGGAAAUGUGCGUGUCCCAGCUCUUUGUCUGAGGGGAAGCCCACAGUCUCAGACUUUAAAAAACACUGGUUUAAGCUUUUAAAAGUGUUUUUGUACAUUAGCCCUUAGUAUAGACCACAGUAGGAUCAGACUGAUCUCAUGAAUUGGCGUAUAUAUGAC
Perca flavescens (yellow perch) is the source of this 938-nucleotide long non-coding RNA. RefSeq lists it as uncharacterized. The record is from RefSeq and is a predicted model, not a curated record. NCBI's taxonomy places the organism in Eukaryota, Metazoa, Chordata, Actinopteri, Perciformes, Percidae. The transcript has 3 exons.